ACGAACGCUGGCGGCGUGCUUAACACAUGCAAGUCGAACGGUGAAAGCGGAGCUUGCUCCGCUGGAUCAGUGGCGAACGGGUGAGUAACACGUGGGCAACCUGCCCCAGACUUCGGGAUAACUCUUCGAAAGAGGCGCUAAUACCGGAUAUGAACUCUGCAGGCAUCUGCGGAGUUGGAAAGUUUUUCGGUCUGGGAUGGGCCCGCGGCCUAUCAGCUAGUUGGUGAGGUAGUGGCUCACCAAGGCGACGACGGGUAGCCGGCCUGAGAGGGCGACCGGCCACACUGGGACUGAGACACGGCCCAGACUCCUACGGGAGGCAGCAGUGGGGAAUAUUGCGCAAUGGGCGAAAGCCUGACGCAGCAACGCCGCGUGCGGGAUGAAGGCCUUCGGGUUGUAAACCGCUUUCAGCAGGGAAGAAGCGAAAGUGACGGUACCUGCAGAAGAAGCACCGGCUAACUACGUGCCAGCAGCCGCGGUAAUACGUAGGGUGCAAGCGUUGUCCGGAUUUAUUGGGCGUAAAGAGCUCGUAGGCGGUUCAACAAGUCGGUCGUGAAAGUUCAGGGCUCAACCCUGAAAUGUCGAUCGAUACUGUUGUGACUAGGAUACGGUAGAGGUGAGUGGAAUUCCGAGUGUAGCGGUGAAAUGCGUAGAUAUUCGGAGGAACACCAAUUGCGAAGGCGGCUCACUGGACCGCUAUCGACGCUGAGGAGCGAAAGCUAGGGGAGCAAACAGGAUUAGAUACCCUGGUAGUCCUAGCUGUAAACGAUGGAUACUAGACGUAGGAACUGGAUUGACGGUUUCUGUGUCGUAGCUAACGCGCUAAGUAUCCCGCCUGGGGAGUACGGUCGCAAGACUAAAACUCAAAGGAAUUGACGGGACCCCGCACAAGCGGCGGAGCAUGCGGCUUAAUUCGAUGAUACCCGUAGAACCUUACCUGGACUUGACAUAUAGGGUCAAGCUAUAGAGAUAUAGUGUGCAUUAGCGCCCUAUACAGGUGGUGCAUGGCUGUCGUCAGCUCGUGUCGUGAGAUGUUGGGUUAAGUCCCGCAACGAGCGGAACCCUCGUCGUAUGUUGCCAGCGGAUAAUGCCGGGGACUCAUACGAGACUGCCGGGGUCAACUCGGAGGAAGGUGGGGACGACGUCAAGUCAUCAUGCCCCUUAUGUCUAGGGCUGCACGCAUGCUACAAUGGCCGGUACAGAGGGCUGCGAAACCGCAAGGUGGAGCGAAUCCCAAAAAGCCGGUCUCAGUUCGGAUUGGGGUCUGCAACUCGACCCCAUGAAGUCGGAGUCGCUAGUAAUCGCAGAUCAGCAACGCUGCGGUGAAUACGUUCCCGGGCCUUGCACUCACCGCC
Molecule: ribosomal RNA, 1355 nt
Filed under: uncultured Actinomycetes bacterium
Lineage: Bacteria; Bacillati; Actinomycetota; Actinomycetes
Description: uncultured actinobacterium partial 16S ribosomal RNA
Rfam family: Bacterial small subunit ribosomal RNA
Source: RNAcentral